GACGAACGCUGGCGGCGUGCUUAACACAUGCAAGUCGAACGGUGAACUCCGCUUGCGGGGGGAUCAGUGGCGAACGGGUGAGUAACACGUGGGCAACCUGCCCUCAGCUCUGGGAUAACUCCAAGAAAUUGGGGCUAAUACCGGAUAUGACCGCUGACCGCAUGGUCUGGUGGUGGAAAGAUUUAUCGGCUGGGGAUGGGCCCGCGGCCUAUCAGCUUGUUGGUGGGGUAGUGGCCUACCAAGGCGACGACGGGUAGCCGGCCUGAGAGGGUGGCCGGCCACACUGGGACUGAGACACGGCCCAGACUCCUACGGGAGGCAGCAGUGGGGAAUAUUGCGCAAUGGGCGAAAGCCUGACGCAGCGACGCCGCGUGGGGGAUGACGGCCUUCGGGUUGUAAACCUCUUUCAGCAGGGACGAAGCGAAAGUGACGGUACCUGCAGAAGAAGCACCGGCCAACUACGUG
Molecule: ribosomal RNA, 465 nt
Filed under: uncultured bacterium
Lineage: Bacteria
Description: partial 16S ribosomal RNA
Rfam family: Bacterial small subunit ribosomal RNA
Source: RNAcentral